This 509-nucleotide ribosomal RNA is filed under the name uncultured Glomus. RNAcentral's name for it is "SSU rRNA". It matches the Rfam family "Eukaryotic small subunit ribosomal RNA", at positions 569 to 1081 of the family's 1831-position model. Lineage: Eukaryota; Fungi; Glomeromycota; Glomeromycetes; Glomerales; Glomeraceae. The record is from RNAcentral.
AGCAGCCGCGGUAAUUCCAGCUCCAAUAGCGUAUAUUAAAGUUGCUGCAGUUAAAAAGCUCGUAGUUGAAUUUCGGGAUCAUCAUGUCGGUCGUGCCUCGGUACGUACUGGCAUUGUUGGUUUCUACCUUCUGACGAACCAUGAUGUCAUUAAUUUGGUGUCUUGGGGAAUCAGGACUGUUACUUUGAAAAAAUUAGAGUGUUUAAAGCAGGCUCGCGCUUGAAUACAUUAGCAUGGAAUAAUGAAAUAGGACGUUUGAUUCUAUUUUGUUGGUUUCUAGGAUCGACGUAAUGAUUAAUAGGGAUAGUUGGGGGCAUUAGUAUUCAAUUGUCAGAGUGAAAUUCUUGGAUUUAUUGAAGACUAACUACUGCGAAAGCAUUUGCCAAGGAUGUUUUCAUUAAUCAAGAACGAAAGUUAGGGGAUCGGAGACGAUCAGAUACCGUCGUAGUCUUAACCAUAAACUAUGCCGACUAGGGAUCGGAUGAUGUUAAUUUUUAAUGUACUCAUUC